GGCCAAGGAAGAGGAUUUAAUGCAUCACCACAUAGGAAUUAUCAAUCGCCUGUGCGCAAUAAUCAAGUCAAUAGUGUUUCUCUGCCAACCCAGCUCCACCCUGCACAACGAUAUUCUGCUCAAAGUCGAGGACAACCUUUUCUGCAAGUAACUGGUCAGCAGUUAGUACAGCAAACGGGUGCUGGAUCUCAAGUUUCAUCUCCCCCCAAAACAGCACAAGUUAUGAAUACUUGUGAACCUGGAGAGCUUGCAUUUACUUCAGAGUCCAAUAAAUUAACGAGUUCCGUGGUUGCAAAAGGGAAAGGCAGUCUUCAGGGUCCUGGAAGGGGAUAUGGGGCUCACAUUGUAGGUGCACCUGGAAACAUGGGUAGUGGUCACAGUAAUCAGAAGUUUUCUGGGACUCCAACCUUUCUUCCAGUCGUGCAAUUUGGAGGCCAGCACCCAGGUGGCGUUGGA
Molecule: unclassified non-coding RNA, 456 nt
Filed under: Hevea brasiliensis (rubber tree)
Lineage: Eukaryota; Viridiplantae; Streptophyta; Magnoliopsida; Malpighiales; Euphorbiaceae
Source: RNAcentral